Long non-coding RNA from Xenopus laevis (African clawed frog), 1112 nucleotides. RefSeq lists it as uncharacterized. The transcript has 3 exons. The record is from RefSeq and is a predicted model, not a curated record. NCBI's taxonomy places the organism in Eukaryota, Metazoa, Chordata, Amphibia, Anura, Pipidae.
AAGUACAAACCAGCCAAAGGCCCAAAAAGUAGCUCAAAUCCGUUCCUUGGCUAGUUUGUACUUUCAAAACCCGUCUGGCAACCCUGAUAUUCAUGUACGUAACACGCAUGUGGCCCUGCAGACUCUUCUAAUGCUUCCCAUACUGUAGGGGUUGGAGUCAUGGGCAUUUUUAAGAUGGGGGGUGUGAGAGCCUUUUAAGAGGGAAAAAAAAGUUUGGCAAAAAUCUUUUGGCCAAGCCCAUAUUAUAGCCACACAUUCUAAUUACCAUGUCAAUUUGGCAGUUUAUCAAUGUUUGAACACAUUUCUGGGAAUUUUAGUGCAAUGAUUUAUGUGUUAUAAACAGUUUUGCUAAUGAAAGUGAAUGUCCCUUUAAAAGGGUACAAGGGCCAAUUCUACUUUUUUUUUUUUUUUUUAAACUUGUUUUUAUUAAAGAUCAGCACAUAGUAGUUACAAAGUCAUAACCGAGAAAGAAAAUGCCCAGAAUAUUUUUGUAACAAUAUGUGAAUGCAGUGAGCACAAAUUAUCAAGAACAGUAAUCAUAAAAUAAAAUAAACAAAUAGCUCAAACUAAGGAUUGAAAAGGCAAAAAGAGAAAGGUCGAGAGAAAAGAAGGAAAGGAAAAUUCCCUAUAUAGGGUUCGAUAAGAACGUAAUAACCUGUUGGUGAGAUGGAUCCCGGGGGACGUCGGACUCAAACGUGGUUGGUUUAGACGUUGGUCUCUGAGAUACUGGGACGACUCCAUAACCAGCGGAUGUUCCGUUACUAAUAUAGAUUGCCGUUAAAACUUGUCGUAAGGCACGGACCGGAUACCUACGUUUAAGAAAGCCUACCUGGUUUUCGGAAUAGUGCCGCCUCCUUCUGAAGUCCCAAACAGCUGAAAUGCAGAAGUGCCGAAAAAGCCAAACAGCCAAAGUCCCGAAGCGGAGAAAAGACCCGAAGCCACGAAAAUAGCCGAAGCAGUGAAAAGACCAGGAGUCUGAUGACAGCCGAAAUUGAAAUCCUGAAGCGCCAAAAAGACCCGAAGUCACAGAAACAGCGACAUUGAAGUCCUGCAGCGCUGAAAAGACCCGAAGUCGUGAAAAAUCAGAAAUUGAAGUCCUGAAGCCACAAGUU